Oncorhynchus kisutch (coho salmon) is the source of this 4998-nucleotide RNA transcript. It is a transcript of the gene named kinesin light chain 1, with no coding region annotated. The transcript is spliced from 16 exons. Lineage: Eukaryota; Metazoa; Chordata; Actinopteri; Salmoniformes; Salmonidae. The record is from RefSeq and is a predicted model, not a curated record.
UCAGAUCUAUUUACUCUCAGAUUUGAAAAUAUUAAUUAGCAUCUAAGUAGGUAUCAUGCAAAACUACAAAUCCCAGCAAGCUCCUGCACAUCCUGCACAUCUUCACACCAUUGCUAACAGGAUGCGUGAGAACAUGUCCACCAUGGUGUGUUUGAAGGAGGAGGAAGACCCUGGGGAGAAGCUGUCACAGGAUGAGAUCAUCUCCAGGACCAAGCAGGUGAUCCAGGGCCUGGAGGCUCUGAAGCAGGAGCACAACUCUAUCUUGGAGGGCUUGCUGGGCACGCUGCGCUGCCUGAAGCAGGAAAACCAGGGUGUCCUGGUGGAGGAGAAGUCCCUCAUGAUCCGCAAGUCCCUGGAGAUGCUGGAGCUGGGCCUGAGCGAGGCACAGGUGAUGAUGGCGCUGUCGGGCCACCUGAGCUCUGUGGAGUCGGAGAAGCAGAAGCUGCGGGCACAGGUUCGUCGGCUGUGCCAGGAGAACCAGUGGUUGAGGGACGAAUUGGCGGGCACCCAGCAGAAGCUGCAGAAGAGUGAGCAGAGCGUGGCUCAGCUGGAGGAGGAGAAGAAACACCUGGAGUUCAUGAACCAGCUCAAGAAGUACGACGAGGAUCUGUCGCCAUCGGAGGAGAAGGACUCUGACUCCAGUAAAGAGAAUCUGGAUGAUCUGUUCCCAGACGACCAGGAUGACCAACCUCCUGGCAUCCAGCAGCCCCACGGUAGUGCAGCAGCAGCAGCAGCCCAGCAGGGAGGCUAUGAGAUCCCGGCCCGCCUCAGGACCCUUCACAACCUGGUGAUCCAGUACGCCUCCCAGGGCCGCUACGAGGUGGCCGUGCCCCUCUGCAAACAGGCCCUGGAGGACCUGGAGAAGACCUCCGGACACAACCACCCAGACGUGGCCACCAUGCUCAACAUCCUGGCCCUGGUCUACAGGGACCAGAAUAAAUACAAAGAGGCAGCCAACCUGCUGAACGACGCCCUGGCCAUCAGGGAGAAGACUCUGGGCAGGGACCAUCCAGCGGUGGCUGCUACACUCAACAACCUGGCUGUGCUCUAUGGGAAACGGGGGAAGUACAAGGAAGCGGAGCCCCUUUGCAAGCGGGCUCUGGAGAUCCGGGAGAAGGUUCUGGGUAAGGACCACCCAGACGUUGCUAAGCAGCUGAACAACCUUGCCCUGCUUUGUCAGAACCAGGGCAAGUAUGAGGAGGUGGAGUACUACUACCAGCGGGCCCUGGAGAUCUACCAGACCAAACUGGGCCCUGACGACCCCAAUGUGGCCAAGACCAAAAACAAUCUGGCAUCCUGUUACCUGAAGCAGGGGAAGUUCAAGCAGGCUGAAACUCUGUACAAAGAGAUCCUUACCCGCGCACAUGAGAGGGAGUUUGGCUCUGUAGACGAUGAGAACAAACCCAUUUGGAUGCAUGCUGAGGAGAGAGAGGAACAGAACAAGGGAAAGCAGCAGGACGGCUCCCUGUUCGGAGAGUAUGGAGGCUGGUACAAGGCCUGUAAAGUAGACAGCCCCACAGUAACCACCACCCUGAAGAAUCUGGGCGCCCUCUACAGGCGGCAGGGUAAAUUUGAGGCGGCAGAGACACUGGAGGAGGCAGCCAAGCGCUCCAGAAAACAGGGUCUGGACACAGUGCACAAGCAGCGUGUGGCGGAUGUUCUGAGCGAGCCGGAGGAGCAGGAGAAGCAGCGGAGCCGUGAGAGUCUGACCUCUGACACCACGGUCAAGUACGAGAGCGGCCCGGACGGGGGCGAGGAAGUGAGUAUGAGCGUGGAGUGGAACGGGGACGGUUCUGGUUCUCUGAAGCGGAGCGGCUCCUUCAGUAAACUCCGUGCCUCUAUUCGCCGCAGCAGCGAGAAACUGGUCCGCAAGCUGAAGGGCGGUGGCUCACGGGAGAACGAGCCCAAAAACCCUGGUUAUUAACCCACAUACCAUCUCCAUUGGCCACAUGUCCUUCUCCUCACCCCUGACCAUCGACCCCCUCACGGACAUCUCCUUGCAUGUCACUGUUCUGGAUGCAGCAUGAAGCGAGCCAGUUCACUAGGUGUUCUAAACGUGGUGGACAAUGCUGCCGGAGACCUCUACCAAGAGCAAAAUAAUCAUCUGACAAACAGUCGUGACCUGAGUGCCAGCCACAAUGACCUGGCACAUUGAAGGUUAGAACUGAGUGGAGAGGUGAAAGGUCGUGGGAUCAGUCUCCUGACCCCCCCUCCCACCCCCAAUCUUCAGAUCCUGCCUCCGCCUAUGAGCUGUCCCCCUCCAAUAUAAUCCUGUACAUAGCUGACUAACUGCUACACCCCCCCCCCCCAGGUUAAAACAAACAAACCCUUCCUAAACUACACACAACCGUCCAUCUGCUCACUACAGCUAGCUACAGCACGUAGGUUUAACAAUCUCAUUGCACUUUGAUCUAGUCGCUGGUUUUCAUAGAGGGUGUUUUUAUUGAAAUGUUUUCUCUUAAUAUCUAAAUAUAUUUUUGCAACAUGAGAUUAGUUAUAAUGAAGGACAAGUGUAUAAUGCUAAGUCAAGUGUGAGUGGAUGUAAGUGUGCACCUAUAUUUUUGUGAUUGAAUGCUCAUGAGAGAGAACAUUCAUUUUUAUUUUCUGUGUGGUUGCUUUUUUCUACCUUUCCUCCACAGAUCUAAAGAAUAACUUAGAUAAUUUGGUUAUCACUUUAAUGGAAUAGGUUAGCAGUUCAGGAGGUCGCAAUAGAGUAUCUCAUUCCCCCUUUACGUCCAAAUUGAUGUCCUGUGUGUUUUUAUUGAAGUGAUAGCUGUGCUUAUAUGAAGUUUAAUGUUUACAUUUGGGUUGUGUAAAUUGUUUUAUUGUAUUUCCUACGCUGCUCUGGGGGAAUCUUUUGUUUCUUGGCAUCAGAGUUCUAGAAACUGAUAGUUCUGCCUCUUUUUAUAGUGAUAUUACCUACUGCAAUUGAAGAAACUGCUCCAUGUAUAUGAAGUUAUGAGGCAGGAGCGUUGUGUUGGCACAUGAAGUAUAUCUUGUCGAUUUCUCAGGAUUGUCACAGAACAGAAGAUCACUAGCCAGGCUAGUUUUGAUAUUAUACACUGACUGCACAAGAUAUUUAACACCAACCUGUCACAGUCAAAUGCAAUUUCCAGUAAUAGGUGAAUAACAUUGUUACAAUCUAGAGAAGAAACAUUGUUUAACAAUUUGUACCAGUCUGUUUCUGGAUGUUGAAUGAUGAAUUAAGAGUAAGACUGUGUAUAAAGAGUGAAAUUCAUCUUAAAGGAUUUGUACUUUAUGAAUAUCCAACCAAAAAGUGAACAUUUUUAAUAGAUCUAUUGCAGGUCUGUCACCACCACAUUUGCAUCGUUUUACUUUGUUCUCAAAACUUUAAAAUGAGUGGUUUUUCAUUUCUGGAGCAUGCUUUAUUUUGGUUCACAGACAUCACCCUACUGACCCUUGACAUGGGUGUGGACUGCUUGUUUGGUGGACUGUGUUAAUGUGGGCUGUUGAUGGGGAUGUGUGAUAUCGUUCUCUUAUGUAAGGAAGGUGACUAACAUUUGACUUUAGAAAGCAUAGGACCAGGGUCGCCCCCAGUCCCUCACCAGGAACAGCACUAGUUAGGGAUAAAGGGAAAACACCAGUUAGACUGUCCAAGGAACAGGACUUAUUUUAAUGAUGAACAAGCUAACUGUCAUGAGCAGAGUGUACCACAGUAUAGUGAGUAGUUUGCUUAGUAAAUACCAGAAAUUGUUUGAGCAUUUCAAGCAGAGGUCUGUGGUAUAGUUAACUUUAUACUGCAGUUUGUAAAAAAUAUAUAUAUUUAUUUAGUGGCUCAGUAACGGGCAUAGGCUUUUCUAUGCAGAAUGCAGUUGGUAAUUUGAAAAACUUUUACAUGUGUAACACACAACGAAGCAUGUGAUUAAAACUUGUGCAAACUUUUAGCCUUACCUUGUUAUGUGUAUAUAUAACAUCAUACUCUUAAAACAUUGUGGUAACAUUGUGCUUGUCAGGAUAGAAUAUACAAAUGCAAGGAACGUUGAUUUAAGCACAAACCUGUAAGCUAAAUAUGUGUUGGAUGCUCCCAUAUGACUGUUGAUCAGUUUGUCUGUCAAUCAUCAACCUGCUUUAUUUGUGUUUUCUCCAUUAUGUGUUCGCUCAGAGUUACUGGUAAGGUACUACAGUGUCCAAUUGAUUAGAAAGGCACAUCAAUUCAUAGGGCUAGACAUUGAAUUAUUGAAGACAAAAUGUAUGCUUUUAUUUCAGAAGCAUUAAUUCAAGUAUACUGUGUUGAGAGAAAAUAGGACCCUAUUUCUGAAAUGUAAUCACCCCCUGCCCCUGUGUUUAUGACCAUAUUUUUACAAACUUAAAUGAUCAUGAAAUCCCUCAAAUGCCUGGGCAGAUAUUAUUUGUUCUUCAAAGCAUUGAUCCUGACGUAUUUUGCUUUACUGGCAAAACAGUAACGAUAAUGAAUCCUACUCUUAAACUCAAAGACCGUUGUGGUUAAUUAUUUGAAAUUAGUAAUCCUAUGAGCAGUGGUACUCUUGAGUCACUGUUGAGGUGAUGCACAUAUUCCUAUGGAGAAGGGCAACAAGCCCUGAACUAAUGGUCAAAUUCGUUUUGCAUGGCCAGGUGCCCCCGGUUGAUCCUUUUAGACCAUUCCAUUGGUUCUUAAGGGAAAUCUCAACCCACCUGGUGCAACAGGCCAUGCAAAAUGAACUCCACCAGUGAAACACUGUUGGGAAAUCUUCAUGAUGACAUUACCAUAUUGUUAGUGGGUCUUAACAGUCAAUGCACCAGCCUCUCUACUGUCCAUCUGUUCCUUUGUUUUUGAAAGUGCAAUUUUUGUUUGUUUGGGGUUGGCCUGGAGUGUGUAUGUGUGGGGAUGUCCUGAGCUGCACUGACGAUAGGAUCAAACUCCCAGCCUCUCUCCUUUAGGGCUGCCUGCUGUGCUGGCUGGAUCAGCCCAUAAACAGUGGUGAAGUGUUUGCCCUUCAAAAAUAUAUUGUAUGGUAUGAAUAAAAUAAUACAAAUGUU